GGCGAACGGGUGAGUAACACGUGGGUGAUCUGCCCUGCACUUCAGGAUAAGCUUGGGAAACUGGGUCUAAUACCGGAUAGGAGCCAUCUUUAGUGUGGUGGUUGGAAAGUUUUUUCGGUGUAGGAUGAGCUCGCGGCCUAUCAGCUUGCUGGUGGGGUAAUGGCCUACCAAGGCGGCGACGGGUAGCCGGCCUGAGAGGGUGUACGGCCACAUUGGGACUGAGAUACGGCCCAG
This 234-nucleotide ribosomal RNA is filed under the name uncultured Actinomycetales bacterium. Its description in RNAcentral is "partial 16S ribosomal RNA". It matches the Rfam family "Bacterial small subunit ribosomal RNA", at positions 97 to 334 of the family's 1533-position model. The record is from RNAcentral. Lineage: Bacteria; Bacillati; Actinomycetota; Actinomycetes; Actinomycetales.